This 25-nucleotide non-coding RNA is filed under the name Mus musculus (house mouse). The record is from RNAcentral. Lineage: Eukaryota; Metazoa; Chordata; Mammalia; Rodentia; Muridae.
UGAAAUCCGGUGGAACCGGAGGUGA